Small nucleolar RNA from Otolemur garnettii (small-eared galago), 100 nucleotides. NCBI's taxonomy places the organism in Eukaryota, Metazoa, Chordata, Mammalia, Primates, Galagidae. The record is from Ensembl.
UUACCUAAGCCUGGCAUUGCCCGAGGAUGGACGAGCAAGCACACAUCCCUCCCCAGUAAAACCCCGCUAUCUUUGGGGGCCUAGAAGGUGCGCUGACAGU